CUGAUAACCUAGAGUAUGGAAGGGGCAGGUGGAAUUAGUGGUGUAGGGGUAAAAUCCGUAGAUAUCACUAGGAAUACCGAAAGCGAAGGCGACCUGCUGGGACAUUACUGACGCUGAGGCGUGAAAGCGUGGGGAGCAAACAGGAUUAGAUACCCUGGUAGUCCACGCCCUAAACGAUGAAUGCUAGUCGUCGGGGAGCUCGUCUCUUCGGUGAUGCACUUAACAGAUUAAGCAUUCCGCCUGGGGAGUACGGUCGCAAGAUUAAAACUCAAAGGAAUAGACGGGGACCCGCACAAGUGGUGGAGCAUGUGGUUUAAUUCGAAGAUACGCGAAGAACCUUACCUAGCCUUGACAUUGAUUGAAUUUUCCAGAGAUGGAGAAGUGCCUUUCGGGGAACAUGAAAACAGGUGCUGCACGGCUGUCGUCAGCUCGUGUCGUGAGAUGUUGGGUUAAGUCCCGCAACGAGCGCAACCCUCGUCGUUAGUUGCUAACAGGUUAAGCUGAGCACUCUAGCGAGACUGCCUUCGCAAGGAGGAGGAAGGUGAGGACGACGUCAAGUCAUCAUGGCCCUUAUGGCUAGGGCUACACACGUGCUACAAUGGGGCGUACAGAGAGUUGCGAUACCGCGAGGUGGAGCCAAUCUCAUAAAGCGUCUCUCAGUUCGGAUUGUUCUCUGCAACUCGAGAACAUGAAGCUGGAAUCACUAGUAAUCGUAGAUCAGCAACGCUACGGUGAAUACGUUCCCGGGUCUUGUACUCACCGCCCGUCACACCAUGGGAGUUGAUUUCGCCCGAAGCGAGGAUGCUAAACUAGCUACUCUCUACGGCGGAAUUAGCGACUGGGGUGAAGUCGUAACAAGGUAACC
Molecule: ribosomal RNA, 865 nt
Filed under: uncultured Campylobacterota bacterium
Lineage: Bacteria; Pseudomonadati; Campylobacterota
Description: bacterial SSU rRNA
Rfam family: Bacterial small subunit ribosomal RNA
Source: RNAcentral